Molecule: non-coding RNA, 31 nt
Filed under: Rattus norvegicus (Norway rat)
Lineage: Eukaryota; Metazoa; Chordata; Mammalia; Rodentia; Muridae
Source: RNAcentral
UCCCUCACUGCUCCCACUUGCUAUUCUGAAA